Molecule: long non-coding RNA, 2640 nt
Organism: Phyllostomus discolor (pale spear-nosed bat)
Lineage: Eukaryota; Metazoa; Chordata; Mammalia; Chiroptera; Phyllostomidae
Exons: 3
Source: RefSeq, a predicted model, not a curated record
GGGGCCCUUUCCAGCCAGCUUCUCCCACGUGGCAGCAACAGUAGACAGCAAGAACGGUGUGACAACUCAGCCUCUGCUCAAGGGUCACCAUGUUCCUUAGGGGGUGGUCUGCUAAAUGAUGUGAAGAGUGUGGAGCUCUGGGCCAUGAGUGGGUGCUCAGGAAACGGUAGCUUCUCUGACCACCAUCCUUCUUCCUUGCUCUUUGUUAGUGUGGUGGUUUGUCCGUGUGAGAGAACUUUCCCAGUAACCACUGAAAGUGUACAUCUGACCAGGUUGAACUGGGAUAAAGCCAUCUUGGUUCUACUGGUGACAAUCACUUAAAUAAAUGUUCUGCUUAUAUUUACAAUGAAUUAUAAAUUGAAGAAAAUGACUUAGGCCCUUCUUCAAAUACUUUUGAGCUCCAUGGAUCCAUGAAAUGACAUCUGCAAUAUGAGAAGCUUCAUUUUCACAUUUACCUCAGAAUCACUCUCAUGGAGCUCGAGAUUGUAGAUUUAAAAAAAAAAGUUUUAGACACUGCAAGGAAGUAAUUUCAAUAUCAUCAUGCGGUGAACUGUUUAAUUUUCUUAGUAUGGACAGCCCUGCUCUGUCAGAAAGCAAUGGAAAAAAUAAGACCUUCUAUAUACAAGUAAAAGUAAAAGUAAAAAACCCACUGAAUUAUGUCAACACUUUGUUGGUAAAAUUCUACAUGAAUUGGUCACCUGCCUGUGUGAUAGUGUGCAAGUCAGCGCUGCUACUCUUGGCCCUGCCAGAUGGAGUCCCCAGAAAGCAGGACCCAGGGGACUUAGAAAAGGGAGUGAGAAGGGACAGCGGCAGGAGCCACCGCCUUACUGCAGGCCAGACUACAGGAACCUGGAAAGGAAACCUCCAAAUGCAAUCAAUUGAUCUAAUCCUUCCUCAGAAUGGCAAGGUUCCAAAAUCAGUGAGGACAAUUCCCACUUCUGGCACUUACACCAAAGGUAUGAAUGUUAUCUUUAACCAUGAACUUCUUCGUUGAGUUGUAUUUCCUUUUAUUGAACGGGCAUGUUUACGUGCCAGGCUUUCUGCUAGGUGCUAUACAAAGACUUAAAAAGUCAUCAGUUCUGCCCCAUAUUGUCCCCUCAUUAAAUAUUAUUGAGUGAAUCAAUCAGUGAAUGCAUGAAUGAAGGACUAAAACCAACAAUCAAAUUAAGGGAGAAAACACAGGUAGGUAGGUGGGAGGUACAGAAUACAGUGGUGUGUCACCAGUUUACUCAGGGUAGUCGGGAAAGGCCUUAGACUUGUCUUAACAAUUGAAUGGUUAAUGGUCAGACAAAUGAGGGAGGAACAAAGGGGUCCUUAAUGUAGGCAAGUGAAGGAGCACAGUGUGACCAAAGGCCUAGAGCAAAGAUCAGCAGACUACAGCCCAUGGAUCAAAUUGUGCCUACCACCUGUUUUUGUAAAUAGUUUUAUUUGAACACAGCCAUGCCCAUUCAUUUUUAUUUUGCUUAUGUUUGCUUUCAUGCUGCAACCGUGUCACCGACUAGUUGUGACAGAGACAGUAAGAUCCCCCAAAUCUAAAAUAUUUGCUGUAUAUUUAGGGACCUACAGAAAUGUCCCAAUUGCUGGAACUUAGUUCUAAAAGGGGCUCAGUGAGAGAUAAGACAGAAAGGUGAGUAGGGACCAAAUUGUAAAGCUUUUUUCUAUACCAUAUUAAGAAAUUUGGAGUUGAUCCUUUAGGAAAUAGGUAACGAGAGCAGUCUUGCAUUCAGAAAUGUCUCUCAGGUGCCGGGUCAGACAGGAGAGAUGCAAGAUUGCAGCAGGAGGCCAGCGCGCUCCAAUCCUUACCUCUUGGAGGAAAACCUUGGUUCUGACAGUUUAAUGUUGGUCAUUACGGAUCUAGCUACAUGCCUGGGAAACAGAGCCUGGUACACAGAGACAAUCAAUGUUCACCAAAUAAAGGAAUUAAGGCAGGAAUAAAGACAAUAUUGUAAUAGCAUCAUUAUUAAAAUGUUUCCUGAACAGGCUGCCUUGGUUAUGAAACAAUGAGACCAGCUUGCUCCCAGCCUCCAGUUUCCCACUAAUGUGCACUGAGAGCCACGUGUGGGGAGGUCGAUGCUGGAACACAAGCUGGAGGGAGAUUCCUUCCCUUCAUGUCAGCGCCAUCGUCAUCACCAAACACCGGCCGCUGCUAGAGCUGUGUUUAUUCCGUGCCCUGUGGCCUAGUGGGAGGGAUGGGACGAGAGGCAGCCCUGCAGUCGCCGUCACAAAAAUAAGGAUAUCACUUGGCUCCACCUGGCAUCUUUCACUGGAAGAUCUUGAAUCAUUUUUUUCUUUCAUGUAGCUAUUAUUUCCAUUUCAUUUCCGCUAAAGGAAAAGCCAAACAAUAGAGAGAGGUUGUGAUUCGUCCAAGGUCACUGAGAAGAGCAGUUUUUCAAAGAUGAGAAAGAUUUCAAGACAAGUAAACUCCAGUUUCCAUCCCAGCCUAAAAUGGACCAGGUUCGUGACUCACUAAGAAACGCAGCAUUAUCUGGCCUUAGUGUCUCUCAAGAAUGAGUCAUGCUGGAGGGAACUAGGGCUCGAGGACCGGUGUCACAAGCAUGUUUUUAGUAGCCACACAUGGUCCCUACCUGUCAAAGGUCGACACCUACCACCAAACUCCAGCAUGGGCGAAGAAGGACCCCU